RNAcentral lists this ribosomal RNA (796 nucleotides) under uncultured Bacteroidota bacterium. Its description in RNAcentral is "bacterial SSU rRNA". It matches the Rfam family "Bacterial small subunit ribosomal RNA", at positions 64 to 857 of the family's 1533-position model. Lineage: Bacteria; Pseudomonadati; Bacteroidota. The record is from RNAcentral.
AAACGGCAUUGAGUGCUUGCACUCUUUGGACGUCGACCGGCGCACGGGUGAGUAACGCGUACCCAACCUUCCCAUUACUGUGGGAUAACCUGCCGAAAGGCAGACUAAUACCGCAUAGUCUUCGAUGACGGCAUCAGAUUUGAAGUAAAGAUUUAUCGGUAAUGGAUGGGGAUGCGUCUGAUUAGCUUGUUGGCGGGGUAACGGCCCACCAAGGCGACGAUCAGUAGGGGUUCUGAGAGGAGGGUCCCCCACAUUGGAACUGAGACACGGUCCAAACUCCUACGGGAGGCAGCAGUGAGGAAUAUUGGUCAAUGGACGGAAGUCUGAACCAGCCAAGUAGCGUGCAGGAUGACGGCCCUAUGGGUUGUAAACUGCUUUUGUAUGGGGAUAAAGUUAGGGACGUGUCCCUAUUUGCAGGUACCAUACGAAUAAGGACCGGCUAAUUCCGUGCCAGCAGCCGCGGUAAUACGGAAGGUCCAGGCGUUAUCCGGAUUUAUUGGGUUUAAAGGGAGCGUAGGCUGGAGAUUAAGUGUGUUGUGAAAUGUAGACGCUCAACGUCUGACUUGCAGCGCAUACUGGUUUCCUUGAGUACGCACAACGUUGGCGGAAUUCGUCGUGUAGCGGUGAAAUGCUUAGAUAUGACGAAGAACUCCGAUUGCGAAGGCAGCUGACGGGAGCGCAACUGACGCUUAAGCUCGAAGGUGCGGGUAUCAGACAGGAUUAGAUANCCUGGUAGUCCGCACAGUAAACGAUGGAUGCCCGCUGUUGGUACCUGGUAUCAGCGGCUAAGCGAAAG